UACGUAGGGGGCAAGCGUUGUCCGGAAUCAUUGGGCGUAAAGCGCGCGUAGGCGGCCUCACAAGUCCGCUGUAAAAGUCAAAGGCUCAACCUUUGAAUGCCAGUGGGAACUGUGAGGCUAGAGUCCGGAAGAGGCGAGUGGAAUUCCUGGUGUAGCGGUGGAAUGCGCAGAUAUCAGGAGGAACACCAACGGCGAAGGCAGCUCGCUGGGACGGUACUGACGCUAAGGCGCGAAAGCGUGGGGAGCAAACAGG
RNAcentral lists this ribosomal RNA (253 nucleotides) under uncultured bacterium. Its description in RNAcentral is "partial 16S ribosomal RNA". It matches the Rfam family "Bacterial small subunit ribosomal RNA", at positions 524 to 776 of the family's 1533-position model. The record is from RNAcentral.